UACGUAGGGAGCAAGCGUUGUCCGGAAUCAUUGGGCGUAAAGCGCGCGUAGGUGGCUUCGUAAGUCCGUUGUGAAAGUCAAAGGCUCAACCUUUGAAAGCCGAUGGAUACUGUGAAGCUAGAGUACGGAAGAGGCGAGUGGAAUUCCUGGUGUAGCGGUGGAAUGCGCAGAUAUCAGGAGGAACACCGGUGGCGAAGGCGGGAUCCUGGGCCAGUACUGACGCUGAGGAGCGAAAGCGUGGGGAGCAAACAGG
This 253-nucleotide ribosomal RNA is filed under the name uncultured bacterium. RNAcentral describes it as "partial 16S ribosomal RNA". It matches the Rfam family "Bacterial small subunit ribosomal RNA", at positions 524 to 776 of the family's 1533-position model. The record is from RNAcentral.